CCUCGAGUGAGAUUCCUGUUGUGAAGCUUGAUCAACCACUUGAUCAUACUGUUUGGUUAAGUCAUCCACCGCCAUUGUUGAGACUUGCAAUUGUGGAUUUGGCUUUGCCAAGGAAAACAGAAAGUGGAUCUAAUAUUAUGAUGUUUUCUGAUCCUCUUAUGCCUGAAAGAAUCUAUUCAGUUCAUGAUGGUGGGAUAGAUUCAAUAUUGUUGCAUUUUCUUCCAUUUACCAGUCAGUCCAGUGGGAAGGAAGAGACUGUCCGAGCUCCCUCUGUGCAUCCUGUCCUUAGCACAUGCCAGGCAGAUAAUUCCUCACCCCUAUGUGGUUUUGAGGCAUUAUCAGAUUCAUUUGGAUACUCAUGGAUUAUAGGAGUCACCUCAAUGCAAGAAUGUUUUGUGCUCGAAAUGAAAACAUGGAAUUUACUGCUUCCCAUACAUGUUGAUGUGGAGAAGAAAUCCCCAAUCUCUGAAGAAUGGAAAGAGGGAGAAACUCCAUACAUCAUAAGCAAAGAACUUCUUAGUGGUCCUAAGGUGGUUCUUGUUCCUCAGGCCUCGUCAAAUCUUCGAUCUGUUGCUGCUGAUUCUAUUGAAGGCCGAUCAUCUCUGCAUCAGUAUUUCAAGCUUUUUCAUGAAAAUUAUGUUGAAUAUGCUCAUAAGGUGUUUUUCGAGCUCAAGCACCAUGGCCCUCACUUGAAGAGAAUCAUUGAUGACCAGCAUGCUCGCUUGAGUGAGGCACAAGAGAAGCUGUUGAAAGUGGAGGAGAAACAGUCAGGAUUGGGGGAGAGGAUUGAUCGUGCAAUCCAGGUACACAAUCUUCUGGAACAACGCUUGGAGCGCUUAAGGAAUUUGCCUGGUGCUCACAAGAAACCUUUGUCGAGAGCAGAGCGUGAAUUUAAGUCUGAGCUUGACCACUUUACAGGAGUUGAGUUGGAUGCUUUGCGUACUUCCAUCGAUACUUUAAAAUCAAGGUUGAGAAGGCACACACAAUCAUCAAAAGCUGAUGUGUUGAAUCAGCAAAGGCAACUUUCAGGGAAGAAUUAUGUCCAAGAUGUUCAAAUCUCCCAACUGAAAUCUUCGCUAGCAAAACUCUCGCUUGUCAACAGUGAAAACUCCAAAAAAGUUAAGCUUGUUGAAUCUGUAUUAAAAUGUCAAGAAAGCAGUAGAUGAUGAAACAUACUACCUUUUUGGUUCUUGUCUUAGAUAUUGGUUUCCCAUGUUGGUUUGUAGUGCAAGAAUGCUAUUAGGUGCUUUUAUAUUGGACCCAUGUUGCUCUUGGACCAAAACAUUUGUAUUUUGGCAGGCGAAGUGGGAAAGAUGCUUUGGCCG
RNAcentral lists this unclassified non-coding RNA (1325 nucleotides) under Hevea brasiliensis (rubber tree). The record is from RNAcentral. Lineage: Eukaryota; Viridiplantae; Streptophyta; Magnoliopsida; Malpighiales; Euphorbiaceae.